GGAGCCGUGGUGUAGUGGUCAACAUGUCUGCCUGUCACGCAGAAGAUCGCGGGUUCAAGUCCCGUCGGUUCCG
Molecule: transfer RNA, 73 nt
Filed under: Tengunoibacter tsumagoiensis
Lineage: Bacteria; Bacillati; Chloroflexota; Ktedonobacteria; Ktedonobacterales; Dictyobacteraceae
Rfam family: tRNA
About the family: Transfer RNA (tRNA) molecules are approximately 80 nucleotides in length.
Source: Rfam by way of RNAcentral